Molecule: ribosomal RNA, 263 nt
Filed under: uncultured bacterium
Lineage: Bacteria
Description: partial 16S ribosomal RNA
Rfam family: Bacterial small subunit ribosomal RNA
Source: RNAcentral
UACGUAGGGGGCGAGCGUUGUCCGGAGUUACUGGGCGGAAAGCGCACGCAGGCGGUCUAUUAAGUUUGGAGUGACAGUUGGUGGCUUAACUGCCAAAGUGCUUCGAAAACUGACAGACUUGAGGGCUUCAGAGGGACACGGAAUUCCGGGUGGAGUGGUGAAAUGCGUAGAGAUCCGGAGGAACACCAAAGGCGAACAAUGGCGAAAGCAGGCAACUGGGGCUGUACCGACGCUGAGACACGAAAGCCAGGGGAGCGAACGGG